ACAUUUAUUUAUUUUGAAGUUUUCAUAGUUUGAAAUUGCCGCUCCAGGUGCGCUCUUAUCGAUAAGUGGCCGCCACUAAGUGUGACCCCAGACUGCAAGCAGUGUGGCCAGUGUAGCCCCAAAACAGGGCUACCCAACACUAAUCGAUUGCUAUCGAUAGGCUCGCUGCAGCCCUAGUAAAGCGCAUGUUACAUCAUUUGGAGUCAAAAAAUAGCUUAAAAUUAUUAAAAAUUGCCACAACAAAUCACCUGCAGCUGCAACUGGAUUCAACUAAAUCAAAUGCACUGAAAUGUGCAUGCAUUUGACAGCUGAACAUCGUUUGAACCGCUAGGGGCUAGGACAAACCAACCGACGGGGCACGACAGGCGGCAACACGCAGGCGAAAAAUAAAUAUACAAAUAUAAAACAAUACGAUGAGCGAGAGCAAUAAUCAGUUUUGAGACGUUGAUUUUUGAACAAAUCCAAAA
Long non-coding RNA from Drosophila subobscura, 467 nucleotides. RefSeq lists it as uncharacterized. The record is from RefSeq and is a predicted model, not a curated record. The transcript has 2 exons. Lineage: Eukaryota; Metazoa; Arthropoda; Insecta; Diptera; Drosophilidae.